This is a long non-coding RNA of Zingiber officinale, 629 nucleotides long. RefSeq lists it as uncharacterized. The transcript has 4 exons. The record is from RefSeq and is a predicted model, not a curated record. Lineage: Eukaryota; Viridiplantae; Streptophyta; Magnoliopsida; Zingiberales; Zingiberaceae.
GCGGCCCAAAUCGGCGGGGCUUUCAUGUGCCGGCGCCGCCGGCGUCGAAGUGCGGCGCAUACGCUCAACCUCGAGCUUCGAUAAGUCUUAUUUUGAUCUUCGGAGAGCUGCUGCCGUCCUAUUCGUGCCCCCGCGUUGGCGAAUCUAGCUAGGCUUCUCUUCAUUGAGAGAUAAAGAUUACACUCCAAUGCAGUGGAACACAGUGCCAGAAGAUUUUUCGAAUAGAGCCUAAAGCACAUGUGGAGAAGAUUUAUACUUGACUCCCAAUGAAGAUGUUUGAGAUACAUGGAAGGCAUGACUAAGAAGAAGACAACGAAAACACUGCUCCUUGAAGGUGAAAACUUGAAUGGCAUUGCCAGUAUUCCUUGCUCAUUGAAAAUGAUGUUCGAUUUAAAGAUUCUCGUUUGAGGUUGAAUGAUACAGUUGAGAAAUCAACAGCACUUGGUCUCCAGGGUUUUAGAUGUCAAAAAUUGCUGCGCCUUCAUCUAGGCUGUUUUCUUGCAAUCUGAUAAAGCAAACAUCUUUAAUAAUAACAAUUGUACUUUUAAUAUAUUAGUUAUGUCUUGCUAGCAUAUGGCUUACACAGUGGUUACCCUCUUUAGCUUUUUGCUGAGGGGAAAAUGACUUAA